GACGAACGCUGGCGGCGUGCCUAAUACAUGCAAGUCGAGCGGCAGCGCGGUCUUCGGACUGGCGGCGAGCGGCGGACGGCAGAGUAACGCGUAGGAACAUACCCCAAAGUGAGGGAUAACUGCCCGAAAGGGUGGCUAAUACCGCAUGUGAUCUUCGGAUUAAAGCUUUAUGCGCUUUGGGAAUGGCCUGCGUUGGAUUAGCUUGUUGGUGAGGUAAUGGCUCACCAAGGCGACGAUCCAUAACUGGUCUGAGAGGAUGAUCAGUCUGACUGGAACUGAGACACGGUCCAGACUCCUGCGGGAUGCAGCAGUGGGGAAUAUUGCACAAUGGGCGCAAGCCUGAUGCAGCCAUGCCGCGUGUAUGAAGAAGGCCUUCGGGUUGUAAAGUACUUUCAGCGGGGAGGAAGGGAGUAAAGUUAAUACCUUUGCUCAUUGACGUUACCCGCAGAAGAAGCACCGGCUAACUCCGUGCCAGCCGCCGCGGUAA
RNAcentral lists this ribosomal RNA (487 nucleotides) under uncultured bacterium. RNAcentral's name for it is "partial 16S ribosomal RNA". It matches the Rfam family "Bacterial small subunit ribosomal RNA", at positions 28 to 523 of the family's 1533-position model. The record is from RNAcentral.